GGAAGAGACUUGCAUAAUAAGUUCAUACAGGUAGGGGUCACAUGACCCGACUCUCAAGUCAUACAAACAAAGUCAUACAAGCCAUGCAGAAGCAUUAAAGUUGUCUGAGUACAAACAGAUGAAAGGAAAAGGCAUAAAGCCUGACUAUCUACAGAUUCCUUCUGAAAGGGGCCAUGUCGUAGCUGGGACACGAGCUACUCGUCAUCAUCGACGUCUAGGUAGAACCCACCUGAUG
This 235-nucleotide long non-coding RNA is filed under the name Hordeum vulgare. RNAcentral's name for it is "long non-coding RNA (HVUL_LNC004406)". The record is from RNAcentral. Lineage: Eukaryota; Viridiplantae; Streptophyta; Magnoliopsida; Poales; Poaceae.